RNAcentral lists this ribosomal RNA (1391 nucleotides) under human gut metagenome. RNAcentral describes it as "bacterial LSU rRNA". It matches the Rfam family "Bacterial large subunit ribosomal RNA", at positions 740 to 2004 of the family's 2925-position model. The record is from RNAcentral.
GCAGGUUGAAGCGCGGGUAAGACCGCGUGGAGGACCGAACCCACCUGGGUUGAAAACCGGGGGGAUGACCUGGGGCUAGGGGUGAAAGGCCAAUCAAAUUCCGUGAUAGCUGGUUCUCUCCGAAAUGCAUUUAGGUGCAGCGUCGGUUGAUUGCAUCGCGGGGGUAGAGCUACUGGAUGCUUGCGGGCCCGUGUCGGGUACCAAUAGCAGCCAAACUCCGAAUACCGUGGAUGUGUAUUCCGGCAGUGAGUCGGCGGGGGAUAAGCUCCGUCGUCGAGAGGGAGACAGCCCAGAUCGUCGUCUAAGGUCCCGAAGCGUGUGCUAAGUGGGAAAGGAUGUGGAGUCGCAUAGACAGCCAGGAGGUUGGCUCAGAAGCAGCCAUCCUUGAAAGAGUGCGUAACAGCUCACUGGUCUAGUGGUUCCGCGCCGACAAUGUAGCGGGGCUCAAGCACACCACCGAAGACGCGGCAGCGGCCUUUGCGGCCGUUGGGUAGGAGAGCGUCCCGCGUGGGGCGAAGCGGCCGGGGAACCGUGCCGUGGACCGCGCGGGAGUGAGAAUGCAGACAUGAGUAGCGAGAGACGGGUGAGGAUCCCGUCCGCUGGAUGACCAAGGGUUCCGGGGCCACGUUCGUCGUCCCCGGGUGAGUCGGGUCCUAAGGCGAGGCCGACAGGCGUAGUCGAAUGGAUGAACGGGUGGAUAUUCCCGUACCGGCGGCGUACCGUAAGAGCCGAACGGAUGAGUACUAACCUCCGGUCGCGUGGCGUCGUUCCCUUCGGGGUUCGGGGUCCGCGGUCGUUGGGAGCGUAGUCCCGGUAGGCUAGCGCACAGGGGUGACACGGAAUGGGAGCCGGCCGCGGAGGUGGUUUUCCGUGGUCAAGCACGCAGCCCGUCCCAUAGGCAAAUCCGUGGGACGCAUAGGGUGAGGUGUGAUGAUGGGCGUCCUUUGGACGCGAUAUCCGGUGGUCCAGGCCGUCGAGAAAAGCCUCGGCGCGAGGGGCGUCGCCGCCCGUACCCCAAACCGACACUGGUGGUCAGGUAGAGAAUACCAAGGCGAUCGAGCGAAUCCUGGUCAAGGAACUCGGCAAAUCACUCCCGUGCCUUCGGUAUAAGGGAGACCCCCGGGCGUGAAGAGGCUUGCCCUCGGAGCGUUGGGGGGUGGCACAGACCAGGGGGUAGCGACUGUUUACCAAAAACACAGGUGCAUGCGAAGGCGCAAGCCGCUGUAUAUGCACUGACGCCUGCCCGGUGCCGGAAGGUUAAGAGGAUCCGUCAGCCCCUUUUGGGGUGAAGCGGUGAAUUCAAGCCCCGGUAAACGGCGGUGGUAACUAUAACCAUCCUAAGGUAGCGAAAUUCCUUGUCGGGUAAGUUCCGACCUGCACGAAUGGCGUAA